Molecule: long non-coding RNA, 281 nt
Organism: Hibiscus syriacus
Lineage: Eukaryota; Viridiplantae; Streptophyta; Magnoliopsida; Malvales; Malvaceae
Exons: 3
Source: RefSeq, a predicted model, not a curated record
AUGGAAAUGGUUUAAGGGAUGUUUGGGUGCUCUAGAUGGAACGUAUAUUAAGGUCAAUGUAUCUUCAAUCGAUAAACCUAGGUACAGAACAAGAAAAAAUGAAAUUGCGACAAAUGUACUUGGUGUUUGCACACCAAACAUGCAAUUCAUUUAUGUUUUACCUGGGUGGGAAGGUUCUGCAGCUGAUGGUAGAAUACUCAGAGAUGCCAUUAGUAGAAGAAAUGGUUUAAAUGUUCCACAAGGGUGUUACUACUUAUGUGAUGCUGGAUACACGAAUGGAG